RNAcentral lists this ribosomal RNA (360 nucleotides) under uncultured Chlorobium sp. Its description in RNAcentral is "bacterial SSU rRNA". It matches the Rfam family "Bacterial small subunit ribosomal RNA", at positions 65 to 425 of the family's 1533-position model. Lineage: Bacteria; Pseudomonadati; Chlorobiota; Chlorobiia; Chlorobiales; Chlorobiaceae. The record is from RNAcentral.
AAAGGAAAGCGGCUUCGGCCGGGAGUACUUGGCGCAAGGGUGAGUAAUGUAUAGGUAAUCUGCCCUUUGGACUGGGAUAACCUCGAGAAAUCGAGGACAAUACCAGAUGAUGCAGCGGAACCGCAUGGUUAUGUUGUUAAAGAUUUAUCGCCAAAGGAUGAGCCUAUAUCCCAUCAGGUGGUUGGUAAGGUAACGGCUUACCAAGCCUACGACGGGUAGCUGGUCUGAGAGGAUGAUCAGCCACAUUUGGGAACUGAGACACGGUCCAGACUCCUACGGGAGGCAGCAGUGAGGAAUAUUGCGCAAUGGGCGAAAGCCUGACGCAGCAACGCCGCGUGGAUGAUGAAGUUCUUCGGAAUG